Mauremys reevesii (Reeves's turtle) is the source of this 167-nucleotide long non-coding RNA. RefSeq lists it as uncharacterized. The record is from RefSeq and is a predicted model, not a curated record. NCBI's taxonomy places the organism in Eukaryota, Metazoa, Chordata, Testudines, Geoemydidae. The transcript is spliced from 3 exons.
AUUAAGUCCUAACGCAGAGGACCGGGGGAAUGAAAAGUUCAUAUCAUCUAUAGUCCAGUUCACGCAGUUGACACCUCUGACCUUGGGAUCUAUGACGCACCCAGGUAUCCUGUUGAGCAUCUGGUUUGGGGCCUGGGCAAAAACAGAUUGGGCCCAAUCCAUUUACC